AUUUUGCAGUCUUAGAUAGACGUUAUUUAAAACAACUUGCAGAGGAGAGAAGACGUCUUACUGGAACAGCCAUAAAAAAAAUAAUCAGACGUGCUAUAUAUUUUGAGAAUAUGACCUAUCUUAUUGAAGAAAGGAGGAUUCAUACUUCAGAAAAUUUGACAACUAGAAUCACCCGUGCAUCAGAUAGAUAUGAACAUGGUCUCUCUUUAUUGGGCAUGUGUCGUUUGAUAGCAUUGUUAAUGUGUACAAAAUUCCCAUCAUCUAAUAAAAAAGAUUUUAAGACUGGCUCUAAUGGUACUUGUACCGUAUGGGAUGGAUCAUCAGCCAAAGUAUACAGAGAAAUUGAGGGCACAUGGUGGCAAGUAAGCUUCAAUGACAUAAACAAUAGAGUACAAUUACUUAAGACACAGUUAUAAUAAUUUGGAUCAGA
Molecule: long non-coding RNA, 430 nt
Organism: Adelges cooleyi (spruce gall adelgid)
Lineage: Eukaryota; Metazoa; Arthropoda; Insecta; Hemiptera; Adelgidae
Exons: 3
Source: RefSeq, a predicted model, not a curated record